RNAcentral lists this ribosomal RNA (424 nucleotides) under uncultured prokaryote. RNAcentral's name for it is "bacterial SSU rRNA". It matches the Rfam family "Bacterial small subunit ribosomal RNA", at positions 355 to 796 of the family's 1533-position model. The record is from RNAcentral.
UGGGGAAUAUUGGACAAUGGGGGAAACCCUGAUCCAGCAAUGCCGCGUGAGUGAAGAAGGCCUUAGGGUUGUAAAACUCUUUCACCGGGGAAGAUAAUGACGGUACCCGGAGAAGAAGCCCCGGCUAACUCCGUGCCAGCAGCCGCGGUAAGACGGAGGGGGCUAGCGUUGUUCGGAAUUACUCGGCGUAAAGCGCACGUAGGUGGUUUGGUUAGUUGGAGGUGAAAGCCCGGAGCUCAACUUCGGAAUUGCCUUCAAUACUGCCGGACUCGAGGCAGGGAGAGGAGAGUGGAAUACCCAGUGUAGAGGUGAAAUUCGUAGAUAUUGGGUGGAACACCAGAGGCGAAGGCGGCUCUCUGGCCCUGUCCUGACACUAAGGUGCGAAAGCGUGGGGAGCAAACAGGAUUAGAUACCCCGGUAGUCC